CUGCUCUCCUCUCUUCCCCUCCCCCUCCCAUGAAACCCUAGCCGUCGCGCCCGCACACCCCCUGCCGCCGCGCCGCUGCCGCCGUCGCUGGCGCUCGCCACGGCCCCCAUCCUCCACCUGACGCCGCCCAUCGUCUCCUCCCCACCCCCUCACACCUUCCUUCUCCUCCUCCCCAUCGGGGCUAAGCAGGAGAACGAGCACCCUCCCUCGCAACUGAGUCGACGGGAGAAUAGCUCGAGCCCCGGGGUUUGGGCGUGUUAGUGAGCGCGGCGGCGGCGGAGAGCAGCAGCAACAGGCGGCGCAGCUGCAGGCCUUGGGCAAGAUUCCUCCGACCCAAGCAGGCCUUGGGCAAGAUUCCAUCGACGGGGGAGCAGCGGGGAGAGGAACGUGAGGCCAUGGGGGAGGAAGAAGAUGGCCCCCCUCGUUCCCAAGGUUGGUCUUCGCGUGACGCUGGUUAAG
This 459-nucleotide ribosomal RNA is filed under the name Triticum aestivum (bread wheat). Its description in RNAcentral is "partial small subunit ribosomal RNA". The record is from RNAcentral. Lineage: Eukaryota; Viridiplantae; Streptophyta; Magnoliopsida; Poales; Poaceae.